Xenopus laevis (African clawed frog) is the source of this 1342-nucleotide long non-coding RNA. RefSeq lists it as uncharacterized. The record is from RefSeq and is a predicted model, not a curated record. The transcript has 2 exons. NCBI's taxonomy places the organism in Eukaryota, Metazoa, Chordata, Amphibia, Anura, Pipidae.
AAGAACAAAGUGCAGGAGGUGGAGCCUGGUUUCAGAGAAAAGCUAUGUAUGAGCAACGUAACUGCCAGAAAAUCUGUGUGGGCUGGGAAAAGAGUUAUUUACCGAAAGUAGAAUCCUCAAGGCUGCUUUACAAUUUAAUAGCCUGGAAUUCCCAUCAUGUAUUGAUUCAGCCAGGAUUAAUAGAUCAUAUUGCAAAUGCAACAACUCCCCAUAAAGUCAAUAGAUUACAUUAUAUUUAAGCAGAGGUCACAAAAAUCACUGUAAACUAUAUUUUUAAUAUCCAAUCAAAUGAGGUCCUUCAGUGCUCCUGCCUGACACUGAAAUGAACAUAACCACAUUUGGCUCAUGCUGGUUGAAUGAUUAAAAUAACAGUGAAAUCCAGGAAGCAGAUGCAGUGGCUAGCCAUCUAAAGCUGCUAGUAAGCCUCAAGUCAUGCACUUGCCAGUUUUCCUAGAUUGCUGAAACAAUUGGGCAUGACUGCUCAUAUUACUUUAGAACUCAUUAUUAGCGUCAGAUGCAGGAAGGAAAAGCUAUUGUUGUAAUCUGCUGCUGUGACAAUAAAUAGAUGCCAUUAUUAGUCACUGGUCUGUCUCAGGGAAGAAUGCCGUUAAGGCUUCUGGUGAAAUAACCUAAGAUCUCUUCAUCCCCUGUGUCUCAGACACCAAGUUUAUAUGACUGUAAAGCCCCUGGUGCUUACAACUAUCACAUAAGGGGCUUUCUGAUUCCUGCUGCUUAUUAGAGGCAAUUGGAAUGAUAGAAACUGCUGCCAGUGUUUGUUUUAUAUAACCUACAAAGGAAAUGAGCACAAGAAGCCCACAGCCUGAAAUGAUUGCACAAUGAUAAUGAUAGGGUGAAGUUUACUUAUGGCUCAUUCCAUUGAGGUUUUGCAGCAAUCAGAAAAUGGAAAACUGCUAAUGGGCAUGGACAGAAAGAUACGCAGUAACAAUUAACAAUGACACUAUAAAAUAACCUUGCAAGCAAUCUUUCUGUUUCUGUUGCUGGGUCAUUGACAGCAAUCAUAUGAAAUGUCGUCAUUGUAGGCUGUAAAUAGGCAGAAUUGGAAGGCUAAAACACUAUUACAAAAACAUGAAAGAAAAAAAAAUUAAGGCUCUUUGUACCCGCAGACAAGCUGAUAUCUUGUCACAUCAUCAGAAUAGGGUGUGGAAGGCAGCAGAUCAGUCAGUUAAAGGAACCCUUCACCCAAGAAGAUGUUAUCCUAAGCAUUCAAUAUACAUUCAUUAAACAUUGUUAAUGGGUUUUAAUAUUAUGUGCAAAUGUAAUUGCUGUCAUAAACAGUUUUUGCCUGUUCUCUGGAUCUGGCUAUUAAAACAAUGUAACAGGA